This 640-nucleotide ribosomal RNA is filed under the name uncultured Synechococcus sp. RNAcentral describes it as "bacterial SSU rRNA". It matches the Rfam family "Bacterial small subunit ribosomal RNA", at positions 9 to 698 of the family's 1533-position model. Lineage: Bacteria; Bacillati; Cyanobacteriota; Cyanophyceae; Synechococcales; Synechococcaceae. The record is from RNAcentral.
GAGUUUGAUCCUGGCUCAGGAUGAACGCUGGCGGCGUGCUUAACACAUGCAAGUCGAACGCUCUUCGGAGAGUGGCGGACGGGUGAGUAACGCGUGAGAAUCUGCCUUCAGGAGGGGGACAACAGUUGGAAACGACUGCUAAUACCCCAUAUGCCUACGGGUGAAAAGGAUACCGCCUGGAGAUGAGCUCGCGUCGGAUUAGCUAGUUGGUGGGGUAAAGGCCUACCAAGGCGACGAUCCGUAGCUGGUCUGAGAGGAUGAUCAGCCACACUGGGACUGAGACACGGCCCAGACUCCUACGGGAGGCAGCAGUGGGGAAUUUUCCGCAAUGGGCGAAAGCCUGACGGAGCAACGCCGCGUGCGGGAUGACGGCCUGUGGGUUGUAAACCGCUUUUCUCAGGGAAGAAGAUCUGACGGUACCUGAGGAAUCAGCAUCGGCUAACUCCGUGCCAGCAGCCGCGGUAAUACGGAGGAUGCAAGCGUUAUCCGGAAUUAUUGGGCGUAAAGCGUCCGCAGGCGGCUUAUCAAGUCUGCUGUUAAAGUUCGGGGCUCAACUCCGGUUCGGCAGUGGAAACUGAUAGGCUAGAGUACGGUAGGGGUAGAGGGAAUUCCCAGUGUAGCGGUGAAAUGCGUAGAUAUU